RNAcentral lists this ribosomal RNA (301 nucleotides) under uncultured bacterium. RNAcentral describes it as "partial 16S ribosomal RNA". It matches the Rfam family "Bacterial small subunit ribosomal RNA", at positions 509 to 807 of the family's 1533-position model. The record is from RNAcentral.
CAGCAGCCGCGGGAAUACGAAGGGUGCAAGCGUUAAUCGGAAUUACUGGGCGUAAAGCGUGCGUAGGCGGUUUGUUAAGUCUGCUGUGAAAUCCCCGGGCUCAACCUGGGAAUGGCAGUGGAUACUGGCAAGCUAGAGUGUGUCAGAGGAUGGUGGAAUUCCCGGUGUAGCGGUGAAAUGCGUAGAGAUCGGGAGGAACAUCAGUGGCGAAGGCGGCCAUCUAGGACAACACUGACGCUGAGGCACGAAAGCGUGGGGAGCAAACAGGAUUAGAUACCCCCGUAGUCCCUGUCUCUUAUAC